GGAGAGUAAAGCUCAGUGGUAGAGUGCAUGCCUAGCAUGUACGAGGUCCUGGGUUCAAGCCUCAGCACCUCCA
Molecule: non-coding RNA, 73 nt
Organism: Camelus ferus (Wild Bactrian camel)
Lineage: Eukaryota; Metazoa; Chordata; Mammalia; Artiodactyla; Camelidae
Source: Rfam